AUUGAACGCUGGCGGCAUGCUUUACACAUGCAAGUCGAACGGCAGCGCGGGCUUCGGCCUGGCGGCGAGUGGCGAACGGGUGAGUAAUACAUCGGAACGUGCCCAGUAGUGGGGGAUAGCUCGGCUAAAGCCGGAUUAAUACCGCAUACGACCUGAUGGUGAAAGCGGGGGAUCUUCGGACCUCGCGCGAUUGGAGCGGCCGAUGGCAGAUUAGCUAGUUGGUGGGGUAAAGGCCCACCAAGGCGACGAUCUGUAGCUGGUCUGAGAGGACGACCAGCCACACUGGGACUGAGACACGGCCCAGACUCCUACGGGAGGCAGCAGUGGGGAAUUUUGGACAAUGGGCGAAAGCCUGAUCCAGCAAUGCCGCGUGUGUGAUGAAGGCCUUCGGGUUGUAAAGCACUUUUGGCGGGAACGAAAAGGACUGUGCCAAUACCACGGUUCGAUGACGGUACCCGCAGAAUAAGCACCGGCUAACUACGUG
Molecule: ribosomal RNA, 484 nt
Filed under: uncultured bacterium
Lineage: Bacteria
Description: partial 16S ribosomal RNA
Rfam family: Bacterial small subunit ribosomal RNA
Source: RNAcentral